AGUCAAUAGAUACCCCGGUAGUCCACGCCGUAAACGAUGAGUACUAGGUGUAGGAGGUAUCGACUCCUUCUGUGCCGCAGUUAAACACAAUAAGUACUCCGCCUGGGAAGUACGGUCGCAAGAUUAAAACUCAAAGGAAUUGACGGGGGCCCGCACAAGCAGCGGAGCAUGUGGUUUAAUUCGAAGCAACGCGAAGAACCUUACCUAGACUUGACAUCCCCUGAAUAACGUAGAGAUACGCGAAGCCCUUCGGGGCAGGGAGACAGGUGGUGCAUGGUUGUCGUCAGCUCGUGUCGUGAGAUGUUGGGUUAAGUCCCGCAACGAGCGCAACCCUUAUCAUUAGUUGCUACCAUUUAGUUGAGCACUCUAGUGAGACUGCCCGGGUUAACCGGGAGGAAGGCGGGGAUGACGUCAAAUCAUCAUGCCCCUUAUGUCUAGGGCUACACACGUGCUACAAUGGUGAGAACAACGAGAUGCAAUACCGCGAGGUGGAGCAAAACUUCAAAACUCAUCUCAGUUCGGAUUGUAGGCUGAAACUC
RNAcentral lists this ribosomal RNA (539 nucleotides) under uncultured bacterium. RNAcentral's name for it is "bacterial SSU rRNA". It matches the Rfam family "Bacterial small subunit ribosomal RNA", at positions 775 to 1313 of the family's 1533-position model. The record is from RNAcentral.